UACGUAGGGUCCGAGCGUUGUCCGGAGUUACUGGGCGUAAAGCGCGCGCAGGCGGCCCGGCAAGCAUGGCGUGAAAGCCCCCGGCUCAACCGGGGAGAGUCGUCGUGGACUGCCGGGCUUGAGGGCGGUAGGGGUUGGUGGAAUUCCCGGUGUAGUGGUGAAAUGCGUAGAGAUCGGGAGGAACACCCGUGGCGAAGGCGGCCAACUGGGCCGACCCUGACGCUGAGGCGCGAAGGCGUGGGGAGCGAACGGG
This 253-nucleotide ribosomal RNA is filed under the name uncultured bacterium. RNAcentral's name for it is "partial 16S ribosomal RNA". It matches the Rfam family "Bacterial small subunit ribosomal RNA", at positions 524 to 776 of the family's 1533-position model. The record is from RNAcentral.